UGGGGAAUUUUGGACAAUGGGGGAAACCCUGAUCCAGCCAUCCCGCGUGUGCGAUGAAGGCCUUCGGGUUGUAAAGCACUUUUGGCAGGAAAGAAACGUCAUGGGUUAAUACCCCGUGAAACUGACGGUACCUGCAGAAUAAGCACCGGCUAACUACGUGCCAGCAGCCGCGGUAAUACGUAGGGUGCAAGCGUUAAUCGGAAUUACUGGGCGUAAAGCGUGCGCAGGCGGUUCGGAAAGAAAGAUGUGAAAUCCCAGAGCUCAACUGUGGAACUGCAUUUUUAACUACCGGGCUAGAGUGUGUCAGAGGGAGGUGGAAUUCCGCGUGUAGCAGUGAAAUGCGUAGAUAUGCGGAGGAACACCGAUGGCGAAGGCAGCCUCCUGGGAUAACACUGACGCUCAUGCACGAAAGCGUGGGGAGCAAACAGG
RNAcentral lists this ribosomal RNA (429 nucleotides) under Acidobacteriota bacterium. RNAcentral describes it as "Acidobacteria bacterium partial 16S ribosomal RNA". It matches the Rfam family "Bacterial small subunit ribosomal RNA", at positions 355 to 776 of the family's 1533-position model. Lineage: Bacteria; Pseudomonadati; Acidobacteriota. The record is from RNAcentral.